This 365-nucleotide long non-coding RNA is filed under the name Coffea arabica (coffee). Its description in RNAcentral is "long non-coding RNA (CARA_LNC007866)". The record is from RNAcentral. Lineage: Eukaryota; Viridiplantae; Streptophyta; Magnoliopsida; Gentianales; Rubiaceae.
GAAGUUGUAAGAAACGUCUGCUUAGGGCUUCGAUUGUCGUAACGAGUCUAUUGUUGGUAUUAAUAUCCGCAAGACUCUGAUGUGCAUUGGCCCACAAAGUGGUUAACAUUCAACAAUCGAAGCAUUGCGCUCAAAUGCCAACUUUGCCCAGGAUGUUUGGAGGGUGGAGAUUAGAGUCAAGGUUGACAAGAAUAGUCCAAGGAAGAAAUUCAGCACUGUAUUGAGGAAGCACAGGAAGGAGAAAAUGACAUAAAAUGAUAAAAAUGGAUAAAUUGACAGUAAAGAUGGGCUUGCAUUCCUUCUGACCCCUUGUACAGCCAGUUGGAUUUACACGUCGUUGACAAAUGAUAUUUAAAAAAAAAAAA